GGGAGCGUUCUGUAAGCCUGCGAAGGUGGCCUGUGAGGGUUGCUGGAGGUAUCAGAAGUGCGAAUGCUGACAUAAGUAACGAUAAAGCGGGUGAAAAGCCCGCUCGCCGGAAGACCAAGGGUUCCUGUCCAACGUUAAUCGGGGCAGGGUGAGUCGACCCCUAAGGCGAGGCCGAAAGGCGUAGUCGAUGGGAAACGGGUUAAUAUUCCCGUACUUGGUGUUACUGCGAAGGGGGGACGGAGAAGGCUAUGUUGGCCGGGCGACGGUUGUCCCGGUUUAAGCGUGUAGGCUGGUUUUCCAGGCAAAUCCGGAAAAUCAAGGCUGAGGCGUGACGACGAGGCACUACGGUGCUGAAGCAACAAAUGCCCUGCUUCCAGGAAAAGCCUCUAAGCAUCAGGUAACAUCAAAUCGUACCCCAAACCGACACAGGUGGUCAGGUAGAGAAUACCAAGGCGCUUGAGAGAACUCGGGUGAAGGAACUAGGCAAAAUGGUGCCGUAACUUCGGGAGAAGGCACGCUGACACGUAGGUGAAGUGAUUUACUCAUGGAGCUGAAGUCAGUCGAAGAUACCAGCUGGCUGCAACUGUUUAUUAAAAACACAGCACUGUGCAAACACGAAAGUGGACGUAUACGGUGUGACGCCUGCCCGGUGCCGGAAGGUUAAUUGAUGGGGUCAGCGCAAGCGAAGCUCCUGAUCGAAGCCCCGGUAAACGGCGGCCGUAACUAUAACGGUCCUAAGGUAGCGAAAUUCCUUGUCGGGUAAGUUCCGACCUGCACGAAUGGCGUAAUGAUGGCCAGGCUGUCUCCACCCGAGACUCAGUGAAAUUGAACUCGCUGUGAAGAUGCAGUGUACCCGCGGCAAGACGGAAAGACCCCGUGAACCUUUACUAUAGCUUGACACUGAACAUUGAGCCUUGAUGUGUAGGAUAGGUGGGAGGCUUUGAAGUGUGGACGCCAGUCUGCAUGGAGCCGACCUUGAAAUACCACCCUUUAAUGUUUGAUGUUCUAACGUGGACCCGUAAUCCGGGUUGCGGACAGUGUCUGGUGGGUAGUUUGACUGGGGCGGUCUCCUCCUAAAGAGUAACGGAGGAGCACGAAGGUUGGCUAAUCCUGGUCGGACAUCAGGAGGUUAGUGCAAUGGCAUAAGCCAGCUUGACUGCGAGCGUGACGGCGCGAGCAGGUGCGAAAGCAGGUCAUAGUGAUCCGGUGGUUCUGAAUGGAAGGGCCAUCGCUCAACGGAUAAAAGGUACUCCGGGGAUAACAGGCUGAUACCGCCCAAGAGUUCAUAUCGACGGCGGUGUUUGGCACCUCGAUGUCGGCUCAUCACAUCCUGGGGCUGAAGUAGGUCCCAAGGGUAUGGCUGUUCGCCAUUUAAAGUGGUACGCGAGCUGGGUUUAGAACGUCGUGAGACAGUUCGGUCCCUAUCUGCCGUGGGCGCUGGAGAACUGAGGGGGGCUGCUCCUAGUACGAGAGGACCGGAGUGGACGCAUCACUGGUGUUCGGGUUGUCAUGCCAAUGGCACUGCCCGGUAGCUAAAUGCGGAAGAGAUAAGUGCUGAAAGCAUCUAAGCACGAAACUUGCCCCGAGAUGAGUUCUCCCUGAGACUUAGAGUCUCCUGAAGGAACGUUGAAGACGACGACGUUGAUAGGCCGGGUGUGUAAGCGCAGCGAUGCGUUGAGCUAACCGGUACUAAUGAACCGUGAGGCUUAACCUU
This 1714-nucleotide ribosomal RNA is filed under the name Salmonella enterica. Its description in RNAcentral is "partial 23S ribosomal RNA". It matches the Rfam family "Bacterial large subunit ribosomal RNA", at positions 1232 to 2925 of the family's 2925-position model. The record is from RNAcentral. Lineage: Bacteria; Pseudomonadati; Pseudomonadota; Gammaproteobacteria; Enterobacterales; Enterobacteriaceae.